Molecule: ribosomal RNA, 394 nt
Filed under: uncultured bacterium
Lineage: Bacteria
Description: bacterial SSU rRNA
Rfam family: Bacterial small subunit ribosomal RNA
Source: RNAcentral
GUGCCAGCAGCCGCGGUAAUACAGAGGGUGCAAGCGUUAAUCGGAAUUACUGGGCGUAAAGCGUGCGUAGACGGUUAUGUAAGUCAGGUGUGAAAGCCCCGGGCUCAACCUGGGAAUUGCAUUUGAGACUGCAUAGCUAGGGUACGGAAGAGGGAAGCGGAAUUUCAGGUGUAGCGGUGAAAUGCGUAGAUAUCUGAAGGAACACCAGUGGCGAAAGCGGCUUCCUGGUCCAGUACCGACGUUCAGGCACGAAAGCGUGGGGAGCAAACAGGAUUAGAUACCCUGGUAGUCCACGCCAUAAACGAUGAGAACUAGACGUUGAGAGGGUAAGCCUCCCAGUGUCGUAGCUAACGCGCUAAGUUCUCCGCCUGGGGAGUACGGCCGCAAGGUUGAA